GAUAGGGUCGCAGUGAACACGAGCAGCUGCAUCCACUUCGGACUUCUUGUGAGCGAAUAAACUAUAAAAAUAAAAAAAAUUACAAAAGGGGUCGAGGACACAAAAUGGCCGUUGUGGUUGAGGGUGCCUGAUUGCCAUGGUAACGCCUGCGGGGAGGUAGGUGAUGCAGCAGCUGCCUGGUGCGCUUUUAUUGAGGAGCUGAGCAGCUGGUUUCCGCUCUACUUCACCUGCAGACUGGGAGCCAACCAAGUAUAAACAAACAUUAAGGACUCAAACUUGAAAUCAGAAGUGUGAUUAUUAUUUUAUGAAUUAAAGCGAGAUUCCAUCUGAAGCAACACGUCAGUGAGAUAUGAGAAAACUCGACCAGUGGAGAGUUUGACCAACAAAUAUUAAAGGUUGUGAGAUUAUUCAUGUAAGAAAAUAAGACGUUAUUCCAUUAGAAACAACAUUUAUGAUACGCAGUCAUUGUUAUUUUAUGAUGAAUCUCCAUUCAUAUAUUCUGGGGAAGAGGUAACUAGUAUACGAGUACGACUUGGAGGUACUUGUAUAUCGUUCCAUUCUUAUUUAAGCUUCUCCUCCAAUGACAUCGAGCUACACAUGUGUGAAUGUGGGAAAGCGUGUGUACAUCGUGGCACCUACUCUGAGUGUGGAGAAAUACACAACAUACGAUCAUAAUCAGUAUAAGUAUGUAAGUAAAUAGCGUAUCUGUACAUGUUGUUAUAGAAGUAGUUGCAUAUGCUCCUCCUCGGCCUGUCAGAUUAAACGUUAUUACUUAAUUACAGAAAAUUAUCGGAUUAUAAAACACAGACGAAGUCAAUGAUGCAUUUUUAUUAUUUAAGUAGAUUUGUAAUUCAAGAUUAUGAAGUUUCUGGAUAUUCUUUCUUUGUGGUAUUAUUACUUUGUGGUCCAGGUUUUUGGAUCAUUAAGUAACUAAAAGUAGGUAUACAAAAAUAUGAAAAUACUUUCUUUCAAGUAAAGUCCUGCAUUUACACUGUAAAAGUAUGAUCUGCUAAAUUGACUUCAAGUAUCAGACCUAAAAGUAUUCAGAUUGUCAGUUAAGACAAUCUAAAAGUUUAAGAUUUGUAAAAUUUUACAAUUUCAUAAUUUCAUAUCUUUUCCACACACAUUACCGUGAUGAAUAAUAAUUCACGAUGUUCUUUACUUCUCCAAAGCCCGUAAAGUGUCUGUGGAUUGUUAUCAUUUCUGUCGAGUUAAAAUGUAAACAGUGUGUGUUAUAUAAAAAGUAAUUAUUUGUUUCAUGGCCGUCUGGGGUGUAUUUAAAGCAGCGCAUGGCGCGGGCUCUGAAUGUUAAAGUGGAGGUUACUUCCCGCUGCACAACGAACAAUAUUUCCCUCUGCUUCACACAGUGGAAAUAAGAAGUUGUGUAAAAUACAAAUUACACUUUGAGCCACUGUGACCUGAAUAUGAAAAUAAAAUGAAUCCAACCCCACUGAUUACACCCAUCGUCCGAAAAACAAUGAGCGGCGGACGCAGCGAAGGAUUCUGGGAGGCCGGGUUACCGAUCCAUUGACUGUAUUGUCCACGCAGGGUGUUUAAACGUGCGGAUUAAGCCUGAAUUUACACGUGUAAUCCAAGGCCGCCAACGUUAUCCAAUUCCACAAGGUCACCGAAAACAGCCGAGGCCUCCGAGGAAAAUGAGAUUUACACCUAAACGGUGUGUGUGUGUGUGUGUGUGUGUGUGUGUGUGUGUGCCCAAGCUCUUCUUGUUUUUGAGGCUGAAC
Molecule: long non-coding RNA, 1742 nt
Organism: Gasterosteus aculeatus aculeatus (three-spined stickleback)
Lineage: Eukaryota; Metazoa; Chordata; Actinopteri; Perciformes; Gasterosteidae
Source: Ensembl